This 475-nucleotide ribosomal RNA is filed under the name uncultured bacterium. Its description in RNAcentral is "bacterial SSU rRNA". It matches the Rfam family "Bacterial small subunit ribosomal RNA", at positions 1 to 526 of the family's 1533-position model. The record is from RNAcentral.
AUUAGAGUUUGAUCCUGGCUCAGAACGAACGCUGGCGGCAGGCUUAACACAUGCAAGUCGGACGCCCCGCAAGGGGAGUGGCAGACGGGUGAGUAACGCGUGGGAAUCUACCCAACUCUACGGAAUAACUCAGGGAAACUUGUGCUAAUACCGUAUACGCCCUUCGGGGGAAAGAUUUAUCGGAGAUGGAUGAGCCCGCGUUGGAUUAGCUAGUUGGUGGGGUAAUGGCCUACCAAGGCGACGAUCCAUAGCUGGUCUGAGAGGAUGAUCAGCCACACUGGGACUGAGACACGGCCCAGACUCCUACGGGAGGCAGCAGUGGGGAAUAUUGGACAAUGGGCGAAAGCCUGAUCCAGCCAUGCCGCGUGAGUAAUGAAGGCCCUAGGGUUGUAAAGCUCUUUCGUCUGCAAGGAUAAUGACAGUAGCAGAAGAAGAAGCUCCGGCUAAAUUCGUGCCAGCAGCCGCGGUAAUAAUC